This 445-nucleotide ribosomal RNA is filed under the name uncultured bacterium. Its description in RNAcentral is "partial 16S ribosomal RNA". It matches the Rfam family "Bacterial small subunit ribosomal RNA", at positions 354 to 796 of the family's 1533-position model. The record is from RNAcentral.
GUGAGGAAUAUUGGUCAAUGGACGAGAGUCUGAACCAGCCAAGUCGCGUGAAGGAAGACGGUUCUAUGAAUUGUAAACUUCUUUUGUGCAGGAAUAAAGUGGGUUACGUGUAACCUUUUGUAUGUACUGUACGAAUAAGGAUCGGCUAACUCCGUUCCAGCAGCCGCGGUAAUACGUAGGAUCCGAGCGUUAUCCGGAUUUAUUGGGUUUAAAGGGUGCGUAGGUGGAUUGAUAAGUCAGCGGUGAAAGUUUGCAGCUUAACUGUAAAAUUGCCGUUGGAACUGUCGGUCUGGAGUGCAAAUGAGGUAGGCGGAAUGUGUUGUGUAGCGGUGAAAUGCUUAGAUAUAACACAGAACUCCGAUUGCGAAGGCAGCUUACUGGGAUGCAACUGACACUGAUGCACGAAAGCGUGGGUAUCAAACAGGAUUAGAAACCCCUGUAGUCC